UACGUAGGAUGCAAGCGUUGUCCGGAUUUAUUGGGUUUAAAGGGUGCGUAGGUGGGGAAUUAAGUCGUGGGUGAAAGCUGGUAGCUCAACUAUCAAAAUGCCUGCGAUACUGGUUUUCUUGAAUACGGUGGAGGUAACUGGAAUGGGUGGUGUAGCGGUGAAAUGCAUAGAUACCAUCCGGAACACCAAUUGCGUAGGCAGGUUACUACGCCGUGAUUGACACUGAGGCACGAAAGCGUGGGGAUCAAACAGG
This 253-nucleotide ribosomal RNA is filed under the name uncultured bacterium. Its description in RNAcentral is "partial 16S ribosomal RNA". It matches the Rfam family "Bacterial small subunit ribosomal RNA", at positions 524 to 776 of the family's 1533-position model. The record is from RNAcentral.